This 376-nucleotide long non-coding RNA is filed under the name Bos taurus (domestic cattle). Its description in RNAcentral is "long non-coding RNA NONBTAT018047". The record is from RNAcentral. Lineage: Eukaryota; Metazoa; Chordata; Mammalia; Artiodactyla; Bovidae.
CACCAAAGCUUGGGAGACCUCCUGCUGUUUGGAGAACAAAAUAAAUCACAGUAAUCUGUGAUUCCCUGUAACCAAAUACAUUUUGAGUGAACGCAGUGGUGAUGACUCAGUGUCUAGCAAGGUGCUGGGCCUGGGCGGACAGUGUUUGGUGCUGGGAACUGGGCAGCCAGAGGCCAGCGCCCCAGAGCUCACAAAGCACAUCCAACAGCACGUGCUUAGAUCAGACUGACUCAUGGGGGUGGUGGGAGCUCCAGGAGAAGAAAUGCAUGUAGAGCUGUGGGGUUUCUAUGUGGGAAAUGGGGACGAUAAAAGCUCCUGAAAGACUGGCAAAGAGGAGAAACAGGCUCCCAGGAGUCUUCAACAGAACUUAAGCUGU